AUGAACCGCUUUCGGGCGGGGAUUAGUGGCGAACGGGUGAGUAACACGUGGGCAAUCUGCCCUGCACUCUGGGACAAGCCCUGGAAACGGGGUCUAAUACCGGAUAUGACUGUCCAUCGCAUGGUGGAUGGUGUAAAGCUCCGGCGGUGCAGGAUGAGCCCGCGGCCUAUCAGCUUGUUGGUGAGGUAGUGGCUCACCAAGGCGACGACGGGUAGCCGGCCUGAGAGGGCGACCGGCCACACUGGGACUGAGACACGGCCCAGACUCAUACGGGAGGCAGCAGUGGGGAAUAUUGCACAAUGGGCGAAAGCCUGAUGCAGCGACGCCGCGUGAGGGAUGACGGCCUUCGGGUUGUAAACCUCUUUCAGCAGGGAAGAAGCGAAAGUGACGGUACCUGCAGAAGAAGCGCCGGCUAACUACGUGCCAGCAGCCGCGGUAAUACGUAGGGCGCAAGCGUUGUCCGGAAUUAUUGGGCGUAAAGAGCUCGUAGGCGGCUUGUCACGUCGGUUGUGAAAGCCCGGGGCUUAACCCCGGGUCUGCAGUCGAUACGGGCAGGCUAGAGUUCGGUAGGGGAGAUCGGAAUUCCUGGUGUAGCGGUGAAAUGCGCAGAUAUCAGGAGGAACACCGGUGGCGAAGGCGGAUCUCUGGGCCGAUACUGACGCUGAGGAGCGAAAGCGUGGGGAGCGAACAGGAUUAGAUACCCUGGUAGUCCACGCCGUAAACGGUGGGCACUAGGUGUGGGCAACAUUCCACGUUGUCCGUGCCGCAGCUAACGCAUUAAGUGCCCCGCCUGGGGAGUACGGCCGCAAGGCUAAAACUCAAAGGAAUUGACGGGGGCCCGCACAAGCGGCGGAGCAUGUGGCUU
This 865-nucleotide ribosomal RNA is filed under the name actinomycete CXB696. RNAcentral's name for it is "bacterial SSU rRNA". It matches the Rfam family "Bacterial small subunit ribosomal RNA", at positions 69 to 947 of the family's 1533-position model. The record is from RNAcentral. Lineage: Bacteria; Bacillati; Actinomycetota; Actinomycetes; Actinomycetales.